RNAcentral lists this unclassified non-coding RNA (1708 nucleotides) under Onthophagus taurus. Its description in RNAcentral is "monocarboxylate transporter 14, transcript variant X3". Lineage: Eukaryota; Metazoa; Arthropoda; Insecta; Coleoptera; Scarabaeidae. The record is from RNAcentral.
AUCCCUAAGCCUGGCACAGCCGCAGCCAGUUGUUCCUAAGACUGCGAACAGAUCACGUGAUUCGUGAAAUGUUUUGGAUAGCAAGAUGCUGGUCCAGCAGACGAAGAUGGUCCCUCCAGAUGGAGGAUGGGGUUGGGUGGUUGUCAUAGGAGUCAGUAUAGUUAAUUUAUGUACAAGAUCAAUAGAAACAUCAUUUGGACUUCUUUUCGGAGAAAUUUUAUUGGAAUUGGAUGUUGGAACGACGGGAGCCGCGGUUAUUAUGAGUACAUUGGAUGCCCUCAUUAAUUUCUCCGGUUUGUUCGUUGGCCCGUUGAUCAAAGCUUUGUCUUAUCGGAAGGUUUCUUUGCUGGGAGCCGUUCUGGUUAGUUUGGGUUUGAUCGCAACGUUCCCGGCGAGAAGUAUGACGCACAUCCUAGCAACUUACAGUAUUAUUAAUGGUAUAGGGGUCGGUUUGACCGCCUCCGCUACGUUUGUCGCGUUAAAUCACUAUUUUGUUAAAAAGAGGGGCCAAGCGGUUGGCUAUUCCCUCGCCGGCACUGCCUUUGGGAUGAUGCUGAUGCCACACGCGGUUCGAAUCCUUCUCGAAAACUACAGUUUUCCCGGGGCUAUGUUGAUACUCGGGGGAGUGGCUAUGCAUGGUCUCGUCGGGUCUGUUAUGUUGGAACCAGCCGAAAAUCAUUUUAAACCCGAGGUCAAAGAUGAAGAGGAAGGCAUUUAUCAUCAGCUGCAAGGAAUUUCUUUCUACUUUUCGUCGAGCGAGGAAAUGGAGACGAUAAAAGAAACAGACGACGAAGAAACUGAACAACAAGAAGAUCAAACUUUAAUAAACGGCAACAUAAUAAUAAAAACUCUCCAAGAUCUUGAAAAACAACACAUGAACAUUCCGAAUUUAACUAGAAAGUCAACGUUUCCUCGUAAUUUUUCGACGAUGAGCUUUGUUAGCCGAAAACGUAAAGAUUCGGUUGGUUCAAUCGCCUCAAGUAUAUCUAGGCUUGAUUUUACCGGAUCAAGUCUUUUAUUAAAUUUACAGACUGAUAAUAAUGAACGUAAAACGAGUGCAUCGGAUGGUUUGCAUAUGAGACGAAAUAUGAGCUACCCCGGUGUGCAAUUAAAUCCGCAUCAAAAAAUAAUGAAGGAGUUACCACAUCCGGCACCGCUUUCGAUCGCCAAAAAAACUGAAGAGACAUUUUGGCAAAAAAUAAUCAAGUUUAUGGACUUUGAUUUAUUGAAAGAUCCGAUUUACUUGAAUUUAGUUUUUGGUCUCUCCAUUUUUUACGUCGCCGAGCAAAAUUUUAAAAUGGUUACGCCGUUUUUCUUCAUGAAUCUACUUUAUACUAAGACCAACAUAGCCAUAUUUUUAUCGAUCCAGGCGAUCACAGACAUCAUUGCUCGAUUGGUACUCCCUCCAAUUUGUGAUAGACUGACCAUAUCCAAAAGGACGUUAUUUAUGACCGCCAUAUUUUUACUUGGGAUUUGUAGAUCAGCAUAAAUUUGUCUGAAGACUUAAAUUAAAUUAAAAAAGGUGCUCUUUUGGUUUUUUUAUUUAUUAAUUAUUAAAUAAUCAAGGAGGGAUUUUUUAUUUUUAAUUACUUAGCUUAAUAAAACGUUUAUGAUUUUAUCCGCGUUUUUUGGGAUGAAUUCUUACAAAAAAUCAGCUCGUGGCUUCAUAUCGAGUCCUUCGUUAAUAACCAGCUGAAUGGAGCCAAAC